RNAcentral lists this ribosomal RNA (822 nucleotides) under uncultured eukaryote. Its description in RNAcentral is "SSU rRNA". It matches the Rfam family "Eukaryotic small subunit ribosomal RNA", at positions 71 to 908 of the family's 1831-position model. The record is from RNAcentral.
GUAUUAUACAGCGAAACUGCGAAUGGCUCAUUAAAACAGUUAUAGUUUAUUUGACAUUCAAAUCUACAUGGAUACCCGUGGUAAUUCUAGAGCUAAUACAUGCUGUUGAGCCUGACUUCUUGGAAGGGCGAUAUUUAUUAGAUAACAAGCCAAUAUUCCUCUGGUCUAUUGUGGUGACUCAUGAUAACUGUCUCGGAUCGCAAGGCCUAUGGCCGCGAUAAGUCAUUCAAGUUUCUGCCCCAUCAGCUUUCGAUGGUAGUGUAUUGGACUACCAUGGCGUUUACGGGUAACGGAGGAUUAGGGUUCGAUUCCGGAGAGGGAGCCUGAGAAACGGCUACCACAUCUAAGGAAGGCAGCAGGCGCGUAAAUUACCCAAUCCUGACUCAGGGAGGUAGUGACAAGAAAUAGCGGACAGAGGCCCUUGUGGCUUCUGGAUUGCAAUGAGCCGAAUUUACACCCCUUAGCGAAAAUCGAUUGGAGGGCAAGUCUGGUGCCAGCAGCCGCGGUAAUUCCAGCUCCAAUAGCGUAUAUUAAAGUUGUUGCAGUUAAAAAGCUCGUAGUUGGAUUUCUGGUAGGGUGCCGAUGCCAGCUUCGUGCGGUCGCGGAGGCGCCCUGCCAUCCUUCUGUUAGCGCCUCUUGGCAUUCAUUUGCUGGUGGCGGGCUCAGAUAUUUUACCUUGAGAAAAUUAGAGUGUUUCAGGCAGGCUAAGCCGGAAUACAUUAGCAUGGAAUAAUGGAAUAGGACUGAGGUCUCUUUGUUGGUUUGAGGGACUACAGUAAUGAUUAAUAGGGACAGUUGGGGGCAUUAGUAUUUAAUAGUCAG